GACGAACGCUGGCGGCGUGCUUAACACAUGCAAGUCGAGCGGAGCGGCGAACGGGUGAGUAACGAGUGAGUAACUGCCCCCCUCUCUGGGAAAACAGUUGGAAACGGCUGCUCAUACCGGAUAGUGGGGGAUGACUCGCGUCCUAUCAGCGUGUUGGUGGGGUAGUGGCCUACCAAGGCGACGACGGGUAGCCGGCCUGAGAGGGCGACCGUCCACAUUGGGCUGAGAUACGGCCCAAACGCCGACGGGAGGCAGCAGUGGGGAAUAUUGCACAGUGGGGGAAAUCCCGAUGCAGCAACGCCGCGUGCGGGAUGACGGCCUUCGGUCUGUAAACCGCUUUCAGCCAUGACGCGGUAGUGGCAGAAGAAGCACCGGCUAACUACGUGCCAGCAGCCGCGGUAAUUC
Molecule: ribosomal RNA, 405 nt
Filed under: uncultured bacterium
Lineage: Bacteria
Description: partial 16S ribosomal RNA
Rfam family: Bacterial small subunit ribosomal RNA
Source: RNAcentral